UCCCUUGUAGCUCAGUUGGUAAAGAACCUGCCUGCAAAGCGGGAGACCCAGGUUUGAUUCCUGGGUUGGGAA
This 72-nucleotide transfer RNA is filed under the name Bos taurus (domestic cattle). It matches the Rfam family "tRNA". From Rfam's summary of the family: Transfer RNA (tRNA) molecules are approximately 80 nucleotides in length. Their secondary structure includes four short double-helical elements and three loops (D, anti-codon, and T loops). The record is from Rfam by way of RNAcentral. RNAcentral also lists the same sequence under 5 other names. Lineage: Eukaryota; Metazoa; Chordata; Mammalia; Artiodactyla; Bovidae.